UGGGGAAUUUUGGACAAUGGGCGAAAGCCUGAUCCAGCAAUGCCGCGUGUGUGAAGAAGGCCUUCGGGUUGUAAAGCACUUUUGUCCGGAAAGAAAUCCUUGGCUCUAAUACAGUCGGGGGAUGACGGUACCGGAAGGAUAAGCACCGGCUAACUACGUGCCAGCAGCCGCGGUAAUACGUAGGGUGCAAGCGUUAAUCGGAAUUACUGGGCGUAAAGCGUGCGCAGGCGGUUUGCUAAGACCGAUGUGAAAUCCCCGGGCUCAACCUGGGAACUGCAUUGGUGACUGGCAGGCUAGAGUAUGGCAGAGGGGGGUAGAAUUCCACGUGUAGCAGUGAAAUGCGUAGAGAUGUGGAGGAAUACCGAUGGCGAAGGCGAGCCCCCUGGGCCAAUACUGACGCUCAUGCACGAAAGCGUGGGGAGCAAAACAGGAUUAGAUACCCUGGUAGUCCACGCCCUAAACGAUGUCAACUAGUUGUUGGGGAUUCAUUUCCUUAGUAACGUAGCUAACGCGUGAAGUUGACCGCCUGGGGGAGUACGGUCGCAAGAUUAAAACUCAAAGGAAUUG
Molecule: ribosomal RNA, 567 nt
Filed under: uncultured bacterium
Lineage: Bacteria
Description: partial 16S ribosomal RNA
Rfam family: Bacterial small subunit ribosomal RNA
Source: RNAcentral